This 91-nucleotide unclassified non-coding RNA is filed under the name Hymenobacter daecheongensis DSM 21074. Its description in RNAcentral is "Flavo-1 RNA". The record is from RNAcentral. Lineage: Bacteria; Pseudomonadati; Bacteroidota; Cytophagia; Cytophagales; Hymenobacteraceae.
GUCCUGCUGAGCUUGUCGAAGCAUCUCUCCCGCUUCGUUGCAAUGGUAACUUAUCGAAGCGGGAGAGAUGCUUCGACAAGCUCAGCAGGAC